CCUACGGGUGGCAGCAGUGAGGAAUAUUGGUCAAUGGCCGCAGGGCUGAACCAGCCAAGUCGCGUGAGGGAUGACGGUCCUAUGGAUUGUAAACCUCUUUUGUCAGGGAGCAAAGGGCGCCACGUGUGGCGUUUUGCGAGUACCUGAAGAAAAAGCAUCGGCUAACUGCGUGCCAGCAGCCGCGGGAAUACGUAGGUGGCAAGCGUUGUCCGGAUUUACGGGGUGUAAAGGGCGUGCAGCAGGGAGGUCAAGUCAGAUGUGAAAUCCCGCGGCUCAACCGCGGAACUGCAUUUGAAACUGUUAUUCGUGAGGACCGGAGAGGUCAUCGGAAGUCCUUGUGUAGCGGGGAAAUGCGUAGAUAUAAGGAAGAACACCAGUGGCGAAGGCGGAUGACUGGACGGCAACUGACGGUGAGGCGCGAAAGCGUGGGGAGCAAACAGGAUUAGAUACCCGGGUAGUC
Molecule: ribosomal RNA, 460 nt
Filed under: uncultured bacterium
Lineage: Bacteria
Description: partial 16S ribosomal RNA
Rfam family: Bacterial small subunit ribosomal RNA
Source: RNAcentral